CCGCGUCUUGCCUCGCGAACUCGGUGAAAGGAAUUGGCGCCGUUCGACACCAGGCGGGUCCGUUCUGCAGCAGCACUCAGCUAUCUCCAGCCGCAGCCGCCGCCCGGGCCGACCAGCAGCCGCCGCCACAGGCCGAGGGAGUCAGCAGCCAGCGGUGAACCGGGGCCCUCACCAUGAGUUCUUCGCCUGUUAAUGUCAAGAAGCUGAAGGUGUCGGAGCUGAAGGAGGAGCUCAAGAAGCGGCGCCUCUCCGACAAGGGCCUCAAGGCCGAUCUCAUGGAUCGACUCCAGGCCGCGCUAGACAACGAGGCAGGAGGCCGCCCCGCCAUGGAGCCCGGGAACGGCAGCCUCGACCUGGGUGGCGAUGCGGCCGGGCGCUCCGGAGCAGGCCUAGAGCAGGAGGCCGUGGCCGGCGCCGAAGACGACGAGGAGGAGGAGGGCAUCGCCGCUCUGGAUGGCGACCAGAUGGAGCUGGGCGAGGAGAACGGGGCGGCGGGGGCGGCUGACGCGGGCGCGAUGGAGGAGGAGGAGGCGGCGUCGGAAGACGAGAACGGCGACGACCAGGGCUUCCAGGAGGGGGAGGACGAGCUCGGCGACGAGGAGGGCGCGGGCGACGAGAACGGUCACGGGGAGCAGCAGUCCCAACCGCCGGCGGCGGCACAGCAGCCUCCUCAGCAGCGUGGGGCUGGCAAGGAGGCCACGGGGAAGAGCAGCGGCCCCACCUCGCUCUUCGCGGUGACGGUGGCGCCGCCAGGGGCGAGGCAGGGCCAACAGCAGGCGGGAGGAGACGGCAAAACAGAACAGAAAGGCGGAGAUAAAAAGAGAGGCGUUAAAAGACCGAGAGAAGAUCAUGGCCGAGGAUAUUUUGAGUAUAUUGAAGAAAACAAGUACAGCAGAGCCAAGUCUCCUCAGCCACCUGUUGAAGAAGAAGAUGAACACUUCGAUGACACAGUGGUUUGUCUUGAUACUUAUAAUUGUGAUCUGCAUUUUAAAAUAUCGAGAGACCGUCUCAGCGCUUCUUCCCUUACUAUGGAGAGUUUUGCUUUUCUGUGGGCUGGAGGAAGAGCUUCUUACGGUGUGUCAAAAGGCAAAGUCUGUUUUGAGAUGAAGGUAACAGAGAAGAUUCCAGUAAGGCAUUUAUAUACAAAGGAUAUUGAUAUACAUGAAGUUCGGAUUGGCUGGUCACUAACUACAAGUGGAAUGUUACUUGGUGAAGAAGAAUUUUCUUAUGGGUAUUCUCUGAAAGGAAUAAAAACAUGCAACUGUGAGACAGAAGAUUAUGGAGAGAAGUUUGAUGAAAAUGAUGUGAUUACAUGCUUUGCUAACUUUGAAACUGAUGAAGUUGAGCUCUCUUACUCGAAGAAUGGACAAGAUCUUGGUGUUGCCUUUAAGAUCAGUAAGGAAGUUCUUGCUGACCGGCCACUAUUCCCGCAUGUUCUCUGCCAUAACUGUGCGGUUGAGUUUAAUUUUGGUCAAAAGGAAAAGCCAUACUUUCCAAUACCUGAAGACUGUACUUUUAUCCAAAAUGUCCCCUUAGAGGACCGAGUCAGAGGACCAAAAGGACCUGAAGAGAAGAAGGAUUGUGAAGUUGUAAUGAUGAUUGGCUUGCCAGGAGCUGGAAAAACUACCUGGGUUACUAAACAUGCAGCUGAAAACCCUGGGAAAUACAACAUUCUCGGAACAAAUACCAUUAUGGACAAAAUGAUGGUGGCAGGUUUUAAGAAGCAAAUGGCAGAUACUGGAAAACUGAACACACUGUUGCAGAGAGCCCCACAGUGUCUUGGCAAGUUUAUUGAGAUUGCUGCUCGAAAGAAACGGAAUUUUAUUCUGGAUCAGACAAAUGUGUCUGCUGCUGCCCAGAGGAGAAAAAUGUGCCUGUUUGCAGGCUUCCAGCGGAAAGCUGUUGUAGUUUGCCCAAAAGAUGAAGACUAUAAACAGAGGACACAGAAGAAAGCAGAAGUAGAGGGAAAAGACCUACCAGAACAUGCUGUCCUCAAGAUGAAAGGAAAUUUCACCCUUCCAGAGGUUGCAGAAUGCUUUGAUGAAAUAACCUAUGUUGAACUUCAGAAGGAGGAAGCCCAAAAGCUUUUGGAGCAAUAUAAAGAAGAAAGCAAAAAGGCACUGCCACCGGAAAAGAAGCAAAACACUGGCUCAAAGAAAAGCAAUAAAAAUAAGAGUGGCAAGAACCAGUUCAACAGAGGUGGUGGCCAUAGAGGACGUGGAGGAUUCAAUAUGCGAGGUGGCAAUUUCAGAGGAGGAGCUCCUGGGAAUCGUGGUGGAUAUAAUAGGAGAGGCAACAUGCCGCAGAGAGGUGGUGGUGGUGGAAGUGGUGGAAUUGGCUAUCCAUACCCGCGUGGCCCUGUUUUUCCUGGCCGAGGUGGUUACUCAAACAGAGGAAAUUACAACAGAGGUGGAAUGCCUAACAGAGGGAACUAUAACCAGAACUUCAGAGGACGAGGAAAUAAUCGUGGCUACAAAAAUCAAUCUCAGGGCUACAACCAGUGGCAGCAGGGUUCUGUCCAUGUGAAUGUGCUGUGUGAAGAGUAAAGGGGGCCCAACUAAAUGUGUUCCAGUGAUUCUAAUAGGUAUUCAAAUUAAUUGCUGCUUGUCUGUUUACCAAUUAUGUUAGGUUUCCAGGACCAUCUUAUAUUGGCAACCAGAUGGACAGGAGAUACGUCCUCUGAAGGAUUUUCUAACUUAUCCUUCAUAUCAGAAGUGAAGUGUAAAGACUUUAACCAAGUCUAAGCUUUAAAGACAUUUACCCUUAGAGGCCUAUUUAUUGCAAAACAGUGACCUUUAGGGUACUUUCCUGCCCUUGUUUACCAAGUUGGUUUUUUUUUUCCUGUCUUGACCAGGCUGUGUGGUCUUUUCUGAGUAGUGAAGUGAAUACAUUUUUAGAAGUCUAAAAAUUAGAUUAAGAAACUCGGAUACUGAAGUUAUGGGAAACUUGGUGUGAGCUUUGGUUAUGCCACAUAAGCUAGAUUAAUGUCUAAGUGGCAACAGUUAUUUGGGUUUGUGCAGUAAAAAUAGUUGUACCCUCAAAAGGCAACCUAAUGGCUUUCAAUGAGUAGGCAGCCAAAGGUUCAUAAGCAUUGUUCAUUGAGAAAAACAAAGUUGUAGAAAACCUCUAUUAAAUGUGCUUUUAAGUUUCAGUGGCAAAGCAUGUCUUGUUUUCAUGAAGCGUUUGCUAGGGAACAUCUUUACAUGCAGAUUAUUCCUCUUAAGGGUGUGCCAGAAAGAGGUAGUUUAGAGACAGCUUUGUUACAUUUAGAAAUGUUUUAACAUUAAUCUUAGUUAUUGUCUUAAUUAGAAAAACUGGAAGGGUAGAGUAAAAUAUGUUAAAGUCUGGCCUAAGUGAAUAUGCAACUUUUUUUUUUCUUUUUUUUGCCUAGUAGUGCUUGUACUAUGAACUUUUAAACUAUAGUACAUUGAAAAAAUACCCUAAUUUCUCCUUGUUACAACAGCUUUGCUCUCAGUUUAAAAUACUAAGUUGAACUUUACAUGACAUGUAUACAGUACCAGUAUUUGGGUGGUAGUGGAUUUUGGCUAUUCUAUUGAGCUGAUAUAAUUGCUAGAACAUUAACCUGCUUCAAAAUUGAUUCUAAAGGACUGUUACAAGUCAGAAUUAUAGAAAUUGCUUAAUUUUCCUAUUUACUAGGGUCCGCCCGCGUACCCAGAGACUAGUAUAUAUUUAACAUGACUUUUAAAGGGGUGCGUUGACACCUGUCUAGAUUUUUAUCUAGGAAUAAUAGAAGGAUUCAAACCCUAUUUGAUCCUUAGCUCUUUGCUGAAAAGUGCAUAAACAGGAGUCCUGAAUUUAUUAUAUAGACCUCCGCAUUAUAUAAUCGAAGCAAAGGGAAACCACCGAUGGAGUUAGAGGUACGUAGACUAAAAAGAUGCUUGCAAAUCAAAUACUGGUUUUAGCAUAGUUGAGAUUUAUUGUUGCCACUCAGUCAAUAAGUCACAAGUCCAGAAAAAAAGCUCUUCCUAUUAAAUCUCCCUGUGGUCCUUAUACUAAGAUGGAAAACCAAGGAAUCAAAGAGGGAGGGGUUGAGGAAAGGGGGGGAGGAAUUACAGCCUAGGAAUGGUAGAUAAGCUACCCCAAAACUUCAAAACUACUAACACUGCCAUUCUAUUUUAAUCAGCUUUUUGGCUGGUACCUACUGCUAUAUCACCUAGUAUGACAUUUCGGGAUUAUCAGGACAAUGAAGGAAGCAGUGCACACGGAGGGCAUAGAAGUUGUGCUGCUGUGAAAAUGAACUUGGUAAGUAGCGAAGAUGUUAUCAGCCAAGAGAGGUCUCUGGGUAAGAUAUAAUUGCAACAUAAAGCUGGAGGGAAUUCAAAUCUCUGGUUUUUCAUAGUGAUAAGGCUAAGAGCAUAAGUACACUGUCCACCACUUGUUAGGAUAUUAGAUUGACCUUAACCAUCAUCAACCUACUACAAACUCAACUUUCAUCAUUGAUUAAAUAUUGGGGCUGCUACUAGUGAUGAAAAUCUUUGUGUCCAUUUCUGCAUCCUGGCCUUCAUGGUGAUCAAAAGGAAAGCAGUCUUUCUGUUGAAGGAUAGGUGAACAACAAAAUAAUCUCUUCCUUUUGGCUUUUCUUGACACAAAGGGCCAGUAAUGGAUAUAUAUCCUUGCUCAGGUGUAAUUUCUCCUUCAGUCUGAUGGUGCUUGACAAUUAACCUUAGGAAGGUUUUUACACACCAUGUUUUCUGGCAUGACAGUUCCAACAAACAUACUGUACUAACAGUAAAGAACAAAAGGGUUUCAUGUAAGUAACACAAUAAAUACAGUUCACACUUUGAGUUUUAAUUUAUGGUUGAUUCACAAGGAGCAGUUGUGUUUGGGUUAAAGUUGAAGUUGUUCAGCUGCUGUUACUGCUCUUCAUUUUUCUUUCAGGAUCAAGGUGGGUGCUUUCAUAUAAAAUCUUAUUUUUUAUUCCUUCUCUGGCAAUUCUUUCCUGGAUCCUCUGCUUAGCAAAAUUAUACCUACAGUGGAACCUUGUAAAAAAAAGAAAGAAAAAAAUAAGCUACUAUUCUAUAUGAACAACCUAAGGAAUUUUAAUUUAUAGAUUUCCAAAAUGCUUAUAAAGAGGACUAUCCCAAAACUAAAUUUAAAGGUGGUCGGUCUGUCAGAAUAACUAAAGUACCUGUUGUAGAACAGUCAUAUCAUAGGAAUCUCUGGGUCUUUAUUUACUCAAAACUUAACUUUUUAAUGGAAUUCUGCCAUUUAUCAAUGGAUAAUAAUGGAGGUUUAUAUACUGCCAUAUUCAGGGCAGAUUUGCAGCAAACAAAACUAGCAGCUCAUACCUUUAAUCCUAGCACUAGUCCACAGAGACCCUGUCUCAAGUGCAUGUACACACAUAAACACAUCCACAUUUAUUGAGUUAUUGUUGUUACUCAUCCUGACUACUGGAAUAUCCAGCAAACGUACCAGCAUCCUAAAGUCACCAGGAUAAAUCCUCCUACUCCAACAUCACACGAUCUUCUAAUUCUACCUAUUGGAAAGAAGCAUGGUCAGCAUAUAUCACAAAUUAUAAUAAACAUGUCUUGAUUUAAAAAAAUACUCACUGGUCACCAAGAAAUGUCCAAGUCCAGUCACAAUAGAUCCUAAUGAGCCAUAGAGUAUAGAUUCCCGAGCGCAUGGAGUGUUCUCAACAUCUAAAAUACCUAGGAGCUUGAAGGGCUAGGAUAAAAUGAAAAAGAACCUAGCCUGAAAAAUUAAAUAGUUGAAGAUUACAACAUGGAUUCCCAAUCAAUUUUGAAUUACCAGUCAGCCAACUUAAAAUGUGUGUUCUAAUCCGCCCCUUUGGGAUUUAUAUAAUUUAACCUUUAGCAUGAAGUGACCAGUCUUCCAAGGACAUGUCACUGAGCACUGGUGGUCAAAACAGACUUUUUCACAUCCUGUUCAUGUCUUUGACAUCUGGUGGUUUGUGACUGUAAUGCAAUCCCAGCAAUCAGGAAACCACAGCAAGAAGAUUGCUGUGAAUUGGAGGUCAGUCUUUGAGAAGCAAGACUACACACAACUUUGUAACUUAAGCAUGUAUGAAAAGAAGCCAUCCUCUAUUGGAUCCCAGCCUUGGAAAACAAUGUGAAUGUUUUCUACAGUGCAGCUAGAGGAUGAUUGCAUAAGAGAUGGAACCUACAUGGUGGGGAAUGGCAUAAAAGGCAUGUCAGAUAGGUAGAACUGCACUUCAAGGAUCUGCUUGAAAACAUGUAACUUGGUUCUCAUUAAAGUUGUUUUUUCCCAGA
RNA transcript from Grammomys surdaster, 6251 nucleotides. It is a transcript of the gene named heterogeneous nuclear ribonucleoprotein U, with no coding region annotated. NCBI's taxonomy places the organism in Eukaryota, Metazoa, Chordata, Mammalia, Rodentia, Muridae. The transcript has 15 exons. The record is from RefSeq and is a predicted model, not a curated record.